GUCCUAGCCGUAAACGUUGGGUGCUAGGUGUGGGUGGACAUCGACCCCAUCCGUGCCGAAGCUAACGCAUUAAGCACCCCGCCCUGGGGAGGUACGGCCGCAAGGCUAAAACUACAAAGGAAAUUGACGGGGCCCCCGGCCACAAGCGGCGGAGCAUGCGGCUUAAUUCGAUGCGACGCGAAGAACCUUACCUGGGUUUGACAUGCAGGGUGAAACCCGUGAAAACGGGCGCUCUUCGGAGCCUGCACAGGUGGUGCAUGGCUGUCGU
RNAcentral lists this ribosomal RNA (268 nucleotides) under uncultured bacterium. RNAcentral's name for it is "partial 16S ribosomal RNA". It matches the Rfam family "Bacterial small subunit ribosomal RNA", at positions 793 to 1055 of the family's 1533-position model. The record is from RNAcentral.